CCUACGGCUGGCUGCAGUGGGGAAUAUUGGGCAAUGGAGGAAACUCUGACCCAGCAAUGCCGCGUGAAUGAAGAAGGUCUUCGGAUUGUAAAGUUCUUUUGUCAGGGAACAAAGGCGGGGACUAGUCCCCGGAUUAGGGUACCUGAAGAAAAAGCAUCGGCUAACUCCGUGCCAGCAGCCGCGGUAAUACUGAGGAUGCGAGCGUUAUCAGGCUUUAUUGGGUUUAAAGGGUGCGCAGGCGGCCUGUUAAGUCUGCGGUAAAAGACCGGGGCUCAACCCCGGCGAGUCGUUGCAACGGGCGGGCUGGAGUUGGAGAGAAGUACGCGGAAUGCGCGGUGGAGCGGGGAAAUGAUUAGAUAUCGGGCAGAAGACCGAGUGCGAAGGCAGCGUACCGGCUCCACACUGACGCGGAGGCAUGAAAGCGUGGGUAUCGAAAAGGAUUAGAGACCCGUGUAGUC
RNAcentral lists this ribosomal RNA (458 nucleotides) under uncultured bacterium. RNAcentral describes it as "partial 16S ribosomal RNA". It matches the Rfam family "Bacterial small subunit ribosomal RNA", at positions 338 to 795 of the family's 1533-position model. The record is from RNAcentral.